Ursus americanus (American black bear) is the source of this 107-nucleotide small nuclear RNA. NCBI's taxonomy places the organism in Eukaryota, Metazoa, Chordata, Mammalia, Carnivora, Ursidae. The record is from Ensembl.
GUGAUGGCUUCGGCAGCACAUAUACCAAAAUUGGAAUGAUACAGAGAAGAUUAGCAUGGCCCCUGUGUAAAGACGACAUGCAAAUUCAUGAAGCAUCCCAUUAAAAA